Pelobates cultripes (western spadefoot toad) is the source of this 464-nucleotide non-coding RNA. The record is from the annotation of a GenBank genome assembly. Lineage: Eukaryota; Metazoa; Chordata; Amphibia; Anura; Pelobatidae.
GCAGUUUUGGUGUAUAGAACAUUCAUAUAAUCCUCUGCCAUUUAGGAGUUAAAUCCCUUUGUUUAUGAACCCUAGUCACACCUCCCUGCAUGUGACUUGCACAGCCUUCCUAAACACUUCCUGUAAAGAGAGCCCUAUUUAGGCUUUCUUUAUUGCAAGUUCUGUUUAAUUAAGAUUUUCUUAUCCCCUGCUAUGUUAAUAGCUUGCUAGACCCUGCAAGAGCCUCCUGUAUGUGAUUAAAGUUCAAUUUAGAGAUUGAGAUACAAUUAUUUAAGGUAAAUUACAUCUGUUUGAAAGUGAAACCAGUUUUUUUUCAUGCAGGCUCUGUCAAUCAUAGCCAGGGGAGGUGUGGCUAGGGCUGCACAAACAGAAACAAAGUGAUUUAAAGCCUAAAUGACAGUGAAUUGAGCAGCGAAAUUGCAGGGGAAUGAUCUAUACACUAAAACUGCUUUAUUUAGCUAAAG